GGGCGGGUAGAUCAGCCUGGAAUGAUCGCGGCGUUGGCAUCGCCGAGGUCGAGGGUUCAAAUCCCUCCCCGUCCACCA
Molecule: transfer RNA, 78 nt
Filed under: Candidatus Bathyarchaeota archaeon
Lineage: Archaea; Thermoproteati; Candidatus Bathyarchaeota
Also listed under: 2 other names
Description: tRNA-Ala
Rfam family: tRNA
About the family: Transfer RNA (tRNA) molecules are approximately 80 nucleotides in length.
Source: RNAcentral